RNAcentral lists this ribosomal RNA (254 nucleotides) under uncultured bacterium. RNAcentral describes it as "partial 16S ribosomal RNA". It matches the Rfam family "Bacterial small subunit ribosomal RNA", at positions 524 to 776 of the family's 1533-position model. The record is from RNAcentral.
GACGAACCGUGCGAACGUUGUUCGGAUUUACUGGGCGUAAAGGGCGCGUAGGCGGCCACCGCAAGUCGACUGUGAAAUCUCCGGGCUUAACCCGGAAAGGUCAGCCGAUACUGCGGGGCUAGAGUGCAGAAGGGGCAACUGGAAUUCUCGGUGUAGCGGUGAAAUGCGUAGAUAUCGAGAGGAACACCGGCGGCGAAGGCGGGUUGCUGGGCUGACACUGACGCUGAUGCGCGAAAGCUAGGGGAGCGAACGGG